This 280-nucleotide long non-coding RNA is filed under the name Lathyrus oleraceus (garden pea). Its description in RNAcentral is "Pisum sativum (pea) long non-coding RNA (PSAT_LNC038307)". Lineage: Eukaryota; Viridiplantae; Streptophyta; Magnoliopsida; Fabales; Fabaceae. The record is from RNAcentral.
UAGGCAGGAGAUGAGCUGAUCUCUCUGGGCGCCUGUGUCUUUGUUUUGUCUUGUUGUGUGCUUGGAAGCUGAUGUAAGUCCAUCGAGUGGCAUUCGGGUUCCAGUGUGUGUUCUUGGUUCGGAUGCUGAUAUAAGUCCAGUGAUUGGCAUUCGGGCUCCAUGUUUGCCUUUUGCCUGUGUCUGUUUGUGUGUGUGUCAGCCGAGCUACGAAUGCUCUGAUUCUCCUUCGUCCAAGGAGAUACGUAUGCAUAGGAUGCGAUAUCCUAGCGAGCAUGUGUCG